GGUGGGCAGAGGGAGCGAGCCCAGCCUAACUGGGAGGAAUCCCCCCACUAGCCCCCCGAUCCUCUCCGGGGUGCCUCAGGGGAUGUUAUCGAGCUUCUGGCCUGUGUUUUGGCACAUCACACAGGGGUUCCCACCUUCACGAUGACUUGGGGGACCCUGUGCACCCCCGCGGUCUGCAGCCUCCUCAGUGGCAGGGUUCCCUGCUGGCUUCGCUGUCGACAGCAAGCGCCAUGUAGUGAGGGUCACAGCCGCUCUCAGGCCCCCUCCACGACGCUCAUCGGAUCUCCCAGGAGUUUUGAUCACCUGCAUUGUUUUAAAGCUGAUUAUUCUAGAGGCAAUGGCUCAGCGUUCGUUCCCCAACGUAUUCCUUCAAGAAACAGCCACCUAGCUCAUCGAUUCUUUUAUCUCUUUCAGGGAUACUUUCUUAAUUGCAAAAGAAUCUAAAAAUACAAUUGGCGCCCUUGAUAUGUAUAGUAUCUUGUUUAGAAAGUUAGACUGGGGCCGGCGCCGCGGCUCACUAGGCUAAUCCUCCGCCUAGCGGCGCCGGCACACCGGGUUCUAGUCCCGGUCGGGGCGCUGGAUUCUGUCCCAGUUGCCCCUCUUCCAGGCCAGCCCUCUGCUGUGGCCAGGGAGUGCAGUGGAGGAUGGCCCAGGUGCUUGGACCCUGCACCCCAUGGGAGACCAGGAAAAGCACCUGGCUCCUGGCUCCUGCCAUCGGAUCAGCGCAGCGCGCUGGCCGCGGCGGCCAUUGGAGGGUGAACCAACGGCAAAGGAAGACCUUUCUCUCUGUCUCUCUCUCUCACUGUCCACUCUGUCUGUCAAAAAAAAAAAAAAAAAAAAGAAAGUUAGACUGGGAGAAAAACGCAAUCAACUGUCAAAAUGUAACCGUUUCUCGUCUUUAAUUUACCGUGAUUCCUCCCGUUGACUUUUCAUGGUUUUACAGGCAACGGCAAAGGAAGUUACCAGGGUGACUGGGGGUCACACAUGAAGACGUGAAGCUUGGUGCCGACAAGAGCUGAGGGGCUGCUCUCACACGGCUUUGCUGCAGGA
Molecule: long non-coding RNA, 1050 nt
Filed under: Oryctolagus cuniculus (rabbit)
Lineage: Eukaryota; Metazoa; Chordata; Mammalia; Lagomorpha; Leporidae
Description: lncRNA (ENSOCUG00000037805.1)
Source: RNAcentral